GUAUGUGGGGUUAGAUUUAGGGUGCUUGGGGUGCCUGGGACCUUGGAGCGUUUAGUGGUUGGUAUCCCAGGAGGUUGAGUGGUUGGUCUUUUUGCGUUUUUAGUCACCCACUUCUUAGUACUCUUGGGUGUCUUCCCUGGAGACUUUGUGGUUUUGUCUAGCCCACGGGAGGGGAGGCUGGGGGAGGGCUUGGUGGCCAGCUCUCCUGGAAGCCAGGCAUCCUGAUCUCUACCCAGCCCAGGGAGCCAGGUCCAACUGAAGGGGUCUGAGAUGGUAUCCAGGCCAGGGGUCCCUAGGAGGCCGGGAGGAAGGAAAGAGAAGAUGUAAAAACCAUGAUGGUGGUCUCACGGAACUCUACCACGAAGCACUAACCCAUAUCCUCAGCCCUCUUUUCACACACACACACACACACACACACACACACACACACACACAGAGAGAGAGAGAGAGAGAGAGAGAGAAAGAGACAGACAGACAGACACACACACAGAGAGAGAGAGAGAGAGACAUACACAGAGAGAGAGAGGCCCAG
Molecule: long non-coding RNA, 532 nt
Filed under: Cricetulus griseus (Chinese hamster)
Lineage: Eukaryota; Metazoa; Chordata; Mammalia; Rodentia; Cricetidae
Description: lncRNA (ENSCGRG00000024359.1)
Source: RNAcentral